UGUGCCACAAGCCUCUUUAAUAAAAUGUGGGCAUGUUGGUCCAAAAAGUUUAACAGAUACGGUGCUUUAUUUUGGUCAAAAAGCUCAGCACCUUUCACAUAAUAAUUUAGCACUUAAAAAACUCUGCUAGACAUAUAUAAUAGCUUCCGGCUGGUUCUCCAUGACCUUAAUAGAGAUAAGUAGAUUAAUUCUGAGAAAGCUCUUUACUUCGUUUAGCUGCAGCAACAACUGCAUUCAUCAAGAUACCGCGAAAUCCAGACUUCUCCAACUCGUGAAUUCCAGCAAUGGUUGUACCCCCAGGUGAUGCAACAUCAUCUUUAUGUUGACCAGGAUGCUUGCUCAUACCGGAGACCAUUGAUGCUGCUCCUAGUACGGUUUGAGAGGCUAGUCCAAGUGCAAGCUCCCUCGGUAAACCAGCAGCCACCCCUCCAUCAGCCAAUGCCUCUAUUGCUAGAAAAACAUAGGCUGGUCCACUACCACUUAAACCUGUAACUGCAUCAAACAGCUUCUCAUCAGCUUUCCACACCUUACCAAUAGCUCCAAAUAACUGGGAAAUUAACUCUCCAUCUUCGGUUGUUGCCUUUUCCCCCAAAGUGAUGACAGUGGCGGCUUCACCAACAGCAGAGGGAGUGUUUGGCAUCACCCUAAUAAAUCGGCCUUGACCUGCCCAUUCCUGCAAAUCCUUUAACUUAAUACCAGCAGCAACUGACACCAAAAGCUUCUUCUCUGAAAGGAUUGGCUUCAACUCUGACACCACAUUUUUAACCACUUGAGGCUUCACAGAGAAUAUAAUCACAUCACUAUCUUCAACCACCUGACUAUUAUUAUCUAAAACAGUAACCCCAAUAGACUCAAAAGCAGUACGACGAGCUGAUCCAGAAUGGGCUGUUCGAAUACGAGAAGCAGGCAAUAUCCCAGACUUAACCACACCUCUAGCUAUACUUUCAGCCAUUUUACCAGCUCCUAUAAAGCCCAGCUUGUAUGAAUCGGUUGGAAUUGGACAAACAUUCGCCAUUUGGAAAUUAUGUAACAGUAAAGAUACAACUUUUCUUCUGAAAUCAGUGAAGGCGGCAAGACGAAGAGUAGCUGAUGUGUUUUAAUGCAUCACUCUUCUUCUUAUUUAAGCGACUGUUUAGGGCCUUAAUAC
RNAcentral lists this unclassified non-coding RNA (1147 nucleotides) under Hevea brasiliensis (rubber tree). The record is from RNAcentral. Lineage: Eukaryota; Viridiplantae; Streptophyta; Magnoliopsida; Malpighiales; Euphorbiaceae.